CCAGAUUGUCCUCUAUGAGUGGUCCCUGGGUCCUGGGAGUGAGGGCAAACAUGUGGUCAUGCAGGCAAUACAGACGCCAUACCUUCAUUUAUCUGCAAUGCAGGAAGGAGAUUAUACAUUUCAGCUGAAGGUGACAGAUUCUUCAAGGCAACAGUCUACUGCUGUGGUGACUGUGAUUGUCCAGCCUGAAAACAAUAGACCUCCAGUGGCUGUGGCCGG
RNAcentral lists this long non-coding RNA (219 nucleotides) under Homo sapiens (human). Its description in RNAcentral is "HSALNT0102657". The record is from RNAcentral. Lineage: Eukaryota; Metazoa; Chordata; Mammalia; Primates; Hominidae.